GCCCUUUUAGCUCAAUUGAAUAGAGCAUCUGACUUCGGAUCAGAAGGUUAGAGGUUUAAAUCCCCUAAAGGGCGCCA
Molecule: transfer RNA, 77 nt
Filed under: Mycoplasmataceae bacterium
Lineage: Bacteria; Bacillati; Mycoplasmatota; Mollicutes; Mycoplasmatales; Mycoplasmataceae
Description: tRNA-Arg
Rfam family: tRNA
About the family: Transfer RNA (tRNA) molecules are approximately 80 nucleotides in length. Their secondary structure includes four short double-helical elements and three loops (D, anti-codon, and T loops).
Source: RNAcentral